GGGAGCGGUUCGCCGCCUCCGACGUCGCGAGAAGUCCAUUGAACCUUAUCAUUUAGAGGAAGGAGAAGUCGUAACAAGGUUUCCGUAGGUGAACCUGCGGAAGGAUCAUUG
RNAcentral lists this ribosomal RNA (111 nucleotides) under Rugoloa pilosa. Its description in RNAcentral is "partial 18S ribosomal RNA". It matches the Rfam family "Eukaryotic small subunit ribosomal RNA", at positions 1721 to 1831 of the family's 1831-position model. The record is from RNAcentral. Lineage: Eukaryota; Viridiplantae; Streptophyta; Magnoliopsida; Poales; Poaceae.